CUCCGUAGGGUGAACCUGCGGAGGGAUCAU
This 30-nucleotide ribosomal RNA is filed under the name Cladosporium sp. RNAcentral's name for it is "partial 18S ribosomal RNA". The record is from RNAcentral. RNAcentral also lists the same sequence under 1 other name. Lineage: Eukaryota; Fungi; Ascomycota; Dothideomycetes; Cladosporiales; Cladosporiaceae.